UGGGGAAUCUUGCGCAAUGGGCGAAAGCCUGACGCAGCGACGCCGCGUGGGCGAAGAAGGCCUUCGGGUUGUAAAGCCCUGUGGGGGAGAACGAACCGUACGGGGGCCAAUACCCUCCGUACCUGACGGUACUCCUUUAGCAAGCAUCGGCUAACUCUGUGCCAGCAGCCGCGGUAAGACAGAGGAUGCAAACGUUGCUCGGAAUUACUGGGCGUAAAGCGCGUGUAGGCGGUCUGAUAAGUCGGACGUGAAAUCCCGGGGCUCAACCCCGGAAGAGCGCUCGAUACUGCCAGACUUGGGUUCUGAAGAGGAGAGCGGAAUUCCCGGUGUAGAGGUGAAAUUCGUAGAUAUCGGGAGGAACACCAGUGGCGAAGGCGGCUCUCUGGGCAGAUACCGACGCUGAGACGCGAAAGCGUGGGAAGCAAACAGG
RNAcentral lists this ribosomal RNA (430 nucleotides) under uncultured bacterium. RNAcentral describes it as "bacterial SSU rRNA". It matches the Rfam family "Bacterial small subunit ribosomal RNA", at positions 355 to 776 of the family's 1533-position model. The record is from RNAcentral.